This 444-nucleotide long non-coding RNA is filed under the name Homo sapiens (human). Its description in RNAcentral is "non-protein coding lnc-C1QL4-5:1". The record is from RNAcentral. Lineage: Eukaryota; Metazoa; Chordata; Mammalia; Primates; Hominidae.
GCUGGGAUGACUGGCGCCUGCUACCACGCCCGGCUAAUUUUUUCAUAUUUUUGGUAGAGACGGUGCUUCACCAUGUUAGCUAGGAUGGUCUCGAUCUCCUGACCGUGAUCCACCUGUCUCGGCCUCCCAAAGUGCUGGGAUUACAGGCAUAAGCCACCGCGCCUGGCCACCCCAUUUUCUUUAUCCACAAAUGGGAAUGAUAAUAACAGUACUUACCUCAUGGUGUUGGGAGGAUUAAACGAGUUACCCUCUGUAAAGCACUUGUGCUUGGCACCUAGUACAUGCUGUAGAAGUAUUUGCCAGUAUUCUCAUCGCUCCUCCUCCUCCUGCCUCCCUUGGCUGCUCUGAUGAAGGCUGGAAGAGAAACAACUAUUGCAUGUGUUCAGGGGUUUGCAGGGAAGGUGAGUAACGAAGUUUAGGUUACUGGCAAGAGUGCUAUUUUUA